Long non-coding RNA from Cimex lectularius (bed bug), 887 nucleotides. RefSeq lists it as uncharacterized. NCBI's taxonomy places the organism in Eukaryota, Metazoa, Arthropoda, Insecta, Hemiptera, Cimicidae. The transcript is spliced from 3 exons. The record is from RefSeq and is a predicted model, not a curated record.
AUAGGAUUAGUCUUAUCAGAGAUUCUUGCCAUCUUCAGUGUUGGGUUUGGUUUCUUAGUUCAUCACUCUAACGACCCCAUUGAGAAAUCUCACAAUAUAAUUAAAUUAUAAACGUUCUUCUAUCUAAAAUUAAUAAAUUUUAUCGAAUACAGAAGAUUUGAAUAGGUAAAUGAUUUUGUUAACUCGUUUUUUAAUUUUUUUAAUAUUGGACAUAAGCCACCACAAUCAAAUAAAGCAUAUGGUAUUUUGUUAAUUAUUUUUAAGGUUUUUAGAUUUUUAACAUAUUUUGUAUUGUUUAAACAUUUUUUUUUAAUUUUGGAAAACAAUACCAUGAAUUUUACACAAACAAUUCAUCCCAAUAAGUUCGGUCUGCCUAUCCUUGCAGGUUUGGUGUGUCAGAGACUUCUUGCCAUCUUCAGUGAUGGGCUUGGGGUCUUGGUUCAUAACUUUAACCCAUUGAGAAAUCUCACAAUAUAAUUAAAAAACAAUACCAAGAAUUUUACAUAAACAAUUCCUUUAUAAUAUCAUUUUCCCCAAUAAGUUCGGUCUGCAUAUUCUUGCAGGUUUGGUCUGUCAAAGACUUCUUGCCAUCUUCAUUAUUGGGUUUGGAGUCAUGGUUGAUAAAGUUAACCCAUUGAGAAAUCUCACAAUAUAAUUAAGUUUGAUCUGUCAGAGACUUCUUGCCAUCUUCAGUAUUGGGUUUGGAGUCAUGGUUCAUAAUUUUACUGACUUCAUUGAGAAAUCUCAAAAUAUAAUUAAAUUAUAAACAUUCUUCUAGCUAAAAUUAAUAAAUUUUAUUGAAUACAGAAGCUUUGAAUAGUUAAAUGAUUUUGUUACCUCCCAUUUUUUAGUUUAUAGAUUUUUUAAUAUUGAACAUAAGCCAUCAC